This 253-nucleotide ribosomal RNA is filed under the name uncultured bacterium. RNAcentral describes it as "partial 16S ribosomal RNA". It matches the Rfam family "Bacterial small subunit ribosomal RNA", at positions 524 to 776 of the family's 1533-position model. The record is from RNAcentral.
UACAGAGGUCUCAAGCGUUGUUCGGAUUCAUUGGGCGUAAAGGGUGCGUAGGUGGCGCUGUAAGUCGGGUGUGAAAUUUCGGAGCUUAACUCCGAAACUGCAUUCGAUACUGCGGUGCUUGAGGACUGGAGAGGAGACUGGAAUUCAUGGUGUAGCAGUGAAAUGCGUAGAUAUCUGGAGGAACACCGGUGGCGAAAGCGCGAGACUGGGCCGUAACUGACGCUGAGGAACGAAAGCCAGGGGAGCGAAAGGG